AGUGAACGCUGGCGGCAGGCCUAACACAUGCAAGUCGAGCGGCAGCGCGUCCGACCACCCUCGGGUGGUCGGAUGGCGGCGAGCGGCGGACGGGUGAGGAAUGCAUCGGAAUCUGCCUCGUUGUGGGGGAUAACGUAGGGAAACUUACGCUAAUACCGCAUACGACCUACGGGUGAAAGUGGGGGACCUUCGGGUCUCACGCGAUGAGAUGAGCCGAUGCCGGAUUAGCUAGUUGGCGGGGUAAAGGCCCACCAAGGCGACGAUCCGUAGUUGGUCUGAGAGGAUGAUCAGCCACACUGGAACUGAGACACGGUCCAGACUCCUACGGGAGGCAGCAGUGGGGAAUAUUGGACAAUGGGGGCAACCCUCGAUCCAGCCAUGCCGCGUGUGUGAAGAAGGCCUCGGUUGUAAG
This 412-nucleotide ribosomal RNA is filed under the name uncultured bacterium. RNAcentral describes it as "bacterial SSU rRNA". It matches the Rfam family "Bacterial small subunit ribosomal RNA", at positions 30 to 429 of the family's 1533-position model. The record is from RNAcentral.